GAGGGGGGUGCAAGCGUUAUUCGGAAUCAUUGGGCGUAAAGGGUGCGUAGACGGCACAUUAAGUCAGUUGUUAAAUUUUCCGGCCUAACCGGAAGUAUGCGAUUGAAACUGGUGAGCUAGAGGUUGGAAGAGAGAAGUGGAAUUCUCGGAGUAGCGGUAAAAUGCGUAGAUCUCGAGAGGAACACCGAUGGCGAAGGCAGCUUCUUGGUCCAUACCUGACGUUGAGGCACGAAAGCGUGGGGAGCAAACAGGAUUAGAUACCCUGGUAGUCCACGCCGUAAACGAUGAUCACUAGACGUUAGUUCUGUUUUACAGGAUUAGUGUCGUAGCUAACGCGGUAAGUGAUCCGCCUGGGGACUACGGUCGCAAGAUUA
This 374-nucleotide ribosomal RNA is filed under the name uncultured organism. RNAcentral's name for it is "partial 16S ribosomal RNA". It matches the Rfam family "Bacterial small subunit ribosomal RNA", at positions 525 to 896 of the family's 1533-position model. The record is from RNAcentral.